GAUGUAUGAGUUAGUGGCGGACGGGUGAGUAACGCGUGGAGAACCUGCCGUAUACUGGGGGAUAACACUUAGAAAUAGGUGCUAAUACCGCAUAAGCGCACAGCUUCGCAUGAAGCAGUGUGAAAAACUCCGGUGGUAUACGAUGGAUCCGCGUCUGAUUAGCUUGUUGGCGGGGUAAAGGCCCACCAAGGCGACGAUCAGUAGCCGGCCUGAGAGGGUGAACGGCCACAUUGGGACUGAGACACGGCCCAAACUCCUACGGGAGGCAGCAGUGGGGAAUAUUGCACAAUGGGGGAAACCCUGAUGCAGCGACGCCGCGUGAGUGAAGAAGUAUUUCGGUAUGUAAAGCUCUAUCAGCAGGGAAGAAAAUGACGGUACCUGACUAAGAAGCCCCGGCUAACUACGUGCCAGCAGCCGCGGUAAUACGUAGGGGGCAAGCGUUAUCCGGAUUUACUGGGUGUAAAGGGAGCGUAGACGGCAGCGCAAGUCUGGAGUGAAAUCCCAUGGCUUAACCAUGGAACUGCUUUGGAAACUGUGCAGCUAGAGUGCAGGAGAGGUAAGCGGAAUUCCUAGUGUAGCGGUGAAAUGCGUAGAUACUAGGAGGAACACCAGUGGCGAAGGCGGCUUACUGGACUGUAACUGACGUUGAGGCUCGAAAGCGUGGGGAGCAAACAGGAUUAGAUACCCUGGUAGUCCACGCUGUAAACGAUGAUUACUAGGUGUUGGGGGACCAAGGUCCUUCGGUGCCGGCGCAAACGCAUUAAGUAAUCCACCUGGGGAGUACGUUCGCAAGA
RNAcentral lists this ribosomal RNA (794 nucleotides) under uncultured bacterium. RNAcentral describes it as "bacterial SSU rRNA". It matches the Rfam family "Bacterial small subunit ribosomal RNA", at positions 82 to 893 of the family's 1533-position model. The record is from RNAcentral.